RNAcentral lists this ribosomal RNA (465 nucleotides) under Vreelandella stevensii. RNAcentral's name for it is "partial 16S ribosomal RNA". It matches the Rfam family "Bacterial small subunit ribosomal RNA", at positions 338 to 795 of the family's 1533-position model. Lineage: Bacteria; Pseudomonadati; Pseudomonadota; Gammaproteobacteria; Oceanospirillales; Halomonadaceae. The record is from RNAcentral.
CCUACGGGUGGCAGCAGUGGGGAAUAUUGGACAAUGGGGGCAACCCUGAUCCAGCCAUGCCGCGUGUGUGAAGAAGGCCCUCGGGUUGUAAAGCACUUUCAGUGAGGAAGAACGCCUGGUGGUUAAUACCCAUCAGGAAAGACAUCACUCACAGAAGAAGCACCGGCUAACUCCGUGCCAGCAGCCGCGGUAAUACGGAGGGUGCGAGCGUUAAUCGGAAUUACUGGGCGUAAAGCGCGCGUAGGUGGCUUGAUAAGCCGGUUGUGAAAGCCCCGGGCUCAACCUGGGAACGGCAUCCGGAGCUGUCAAGAUAGAGGGCAGGAGAGGGGGGCAGAACCCACGGCGGAGCGGUGAAGUGCGUAGAGGCCGGGAGGAGGACGAGCGGCGAACGUGGCAUCAUGAACUGACGCUGACACUGGGGUGCGUUAGCGUGGGUAGAAGACAGGAUGAGAGACCCCGGUAGUC